Molecule: ribosomal RNA, 500 nt
Filed under: uncultured bacterium
Lineage: Bacteria
Description: partial 16S ribosomal RNA
Rfam family: Bacterial small subunit ribosomal RNA
Source: RNAcentral
AUUGAACGCUGGCGGAAUGCUUUACACAUGCAAGUCGAACGGCAGCACGGACUUCGGUCUGGUGGCGAGUGGCGAACGGGUGAGUAAUGUAUCGGAACGUGCCCAGUCGUGGGGGAUAACGUAGUGAAAAUUACGCUAAUACCGCAUACGAUCUAUGGAUGAAAGCGGGGGAUCGCAAGACCUCGCGCGAUUGGAGCGGCCGAUAUCAGAUUAGGUAGUUGGUGGGGUAAAGGCCCACCAAGCCAACGAUCUGUAGCUGGUCUGAGAGGACGACCAGCCAGACUGGAACUGAGACACGGUCCAGACGCCUACGGGAGGCAGCAGUGGGGAAUUUUGGAAAAUGGGCGAAGGCCUGAUCCAGCCAUUCCGCGUGCAGGAUGAAGGCCCUCGGGUUGUAAACUGCUUUUGUACAGAACGAAAAGGUUUCUACUAAUACUAGGAGCUCAUGACGGUACUGUAAGAAUAAGCACCGGCUAACUACGUGCCAGCAGCCGCCGUAA